This 429-nucleotide ribosomal RNA is filed under the name bacterium. RNAcentral describes it as "partial 16S ribosomal RNA". It matches the Rfam family "Bacterial small subunit ribosomal RNA", at positions 355 to 776 of the family's 1533-position model. The record is from RNAcentral.
UAGGGAAUCUUCGGCAAUGGGGGCAACCCUGACCGAGCAACGCCGCGUGAGUGAAGAAGGUUUUCGGAUCGUAAAGCUCUGUUGUAAGAGAAGAACGUGUGCGAGAGUGGAAAGUUCACACAGUGACGGUAACUUACCAGAAAGGGACGGCUAACUCCGUGCCAGCAGCCGCGGUAUUACGUAGUUCCCGAGCUUUGUCCGGAUUUAUUGGGCGUAAAGCGAGCGCAGGCGGUUUAAUAAGUCCGAAGUUAAAGGCAGUGGCUUAACCAUUGUUCGCUUUGGAAACUGUUAGACUUGAGUGCAGAAGGGGAGAGUGGAAUUCCAUGUGUAGCGGUAAAAUGCGUAGAUAUAUGGAGGAACACCGGUGGCGAAAGCGGCUCUCUGGUCUGUAACUGACGCUGAGGCACGAAAGCGUGGGGAGCAAACAGG